AGAGUUUGAUCCUGGCUCAGGAUGAACGCUAGCGACAGGCCUAACACAUGCAAGUCGAGGGGCAGCGCGGAGUAGCAAUACUUUGGCGGCGACCGGCGCACGGGUGCGUAACAGGUGUGCAAUCUGUCCAUAGUCGGGGGAUAGCCCGGCGAAAAGCCGAAUUAAUACUCCAUGUGUCACGAAGCCGCAUGACUUUGUGAUGAAACGUAAGGACUAUGGGUGAGCACGCUUCUGAUUAGGUAGUUGGUGAGGUAACGGCCCACCAAGCCGACGAUCAGUAGGGGUUCUGAGAGGAAGGUCCCCCACAUUGGAACUGAGACACGGUCCAAACUCCUACGGGAGGCAGCAGUGAGGAAUAUUGGUCAAUGGACGAGAGUCUGAACCAGCCAAGUCGCGUGAAGGAUGAAGGUUCUAUGGGUCGUAAACCUCUUUUGCCGGGGAUAAAGAUGAUUACGUGUAAUCAUUUGAAGGUACCCGGAGAAUAAGCAUCGGCUAACUCCGUGCC
Molecule: ribosomal RNA, 505 nt
Filed under: uncultured bacterium
Lineage: Bacteria
Description: bacterial SSU rRNA
Rfam family: Bacterial small subunit ribosomal RNA
Source: RNAcentral